CGCGUAGGCGGUGCGCUAAGUCAGGCGUGAAAGCCCUGGGCUCAACCCGGGAAUUGCGCUUGAUACUGGCGUGCUCGAAUCCGGGAGAGGUUGGUGGAAUUCCCAGUGUAGAGGUGAAAUUCGUAGAGAUUGGGAAGAACACCGGUGGCGAAGGCGGCCAACUGGACCGGCAUUGACGCUGAGGCGCGAAAGCGUGGGGAGCAAACAGGAUUAGAUACCCUGGUAGUCCACGCCGUAAACUAUGUGUGCUAGCCGUUGGGGCUCUUAGAGCCUCAGUGGCGUCGCUAACGCACUAAGCACACCGCCUGGGGAGUACGGCCGCAAGGUUAAA
RNAcentral lists this ribosomal RNA (331 nucleotides) under uncultured bacterium. RNAcentral describes it as "bacterial SSU rRNA". It matches the Rfam family "Bacterial small subunit ribosomal RNA", at positions 568 to 898 of the family's 1533-position model. The record is from RNAcentral.